GACGAACGCUGGCGGCGUGCCUAAUACAUGCAAGUAGAACGCUGAAGGAGGAGCUUGCUCUUCUGGAUGAGUUGCGAACGGGUGAGUAACGCGUAGGUAACCUGCCUGGUAGCGGGGGAUAACUAUUGGAAACGAUAGCUAAUACCGCAUAAUAGUAGAUGUUGCAUGACAUUUGCUCAAAAGGUGCAAUUGCAUCACUACCAGAUGGACCUGCGUUGUAUUAGCUAGUUGGUGAGGUAACGGCUCACCAAGGCAACGAUACAUAGCCGACCUGAGAGGGUGAUCGGCCACACUGGGACUGAGACACGGCCCAGACUCCUACGGGAGGCAGCAGUAGGGAAUCUUCGGCAAUGGACGGAAGUCUGACCGAGCAACGCCGAGUGAGUGAAGAAGGUUUUCGGAUCGUAAAGCUCUGUUGUAAGAGAAGAACGAGUGUGAGAAGUGGAAAGUUCACACUGUGACGG
This 464-nucleotide ribosomal RNA is filed under the name Streptococcus sp. oral taxon 064. RNAcentral's name for it is "bacterial SSU rRNA". It matches the Rfam family "Bacterial small subunit ribosomal RNA", at positions 28 to 475 of the family's 1533-position model. The record is from RNAcentral. Lineage: Bacteria; Bacillati; Bacillota; Bacilli; Lactobacillales; Streptococcaceae.